UACGUAGGUGGCAAGCGUUAUCCGGAAUUAUUGGGCGUAAAGCGCGCGUAGGCGGUUUUUUAAGUCUGAUGUGAAAGCCCACGGCUCAACCGUGGAGGGUCAUUGGAAACUGGAAAACUUGAGUGCGGAAGAGGAAAGUGGAAUUCCAUGUGUAGCGGUGAAAUGCGCAGAGAUAUGGAGGAACACCAGUGGCGAAGGCGACUUUCUGGUCUGUAACUGACGCUGAUGUGCGAAAGCGUGGGGAUCA
Molecule: ribosomal RNA, 247 nt
Filed under: uncultured Staphylococcus sp.
Lineage: Bacteria; Bacillati; Bacillota; Bacilli; Caryophanales; Staphylococcaceae
Description: partial 16S ribosomal RNA
Rfam family: Bacterial small subunit ribosomal RNA
Source: RNAcentral